RNAcentral lists this ribosomal RNA (305 nucleotides) under uncultured bacterium. RNAcentral describes it as "bacterial SSU rRNA". It matches the Rfam family "Bacterial small subunit ribosomal RNA", at positions 334 to 637 of the family's 1533-position model. The record is from RNAcentral.
UAGGCCAUACGGGACGCAGCAGUGGGGAAUAUUGCACAAUGGGGGAAACCCUGAUGCAGCGACGCCGCGUGAGUGAAGAAGCGUUUCGGCGCGUAAAGCUCUGUCAGCGGGGAAGAAACACGGUUCGCGAGAGCCGCGGACGGUACCCGACCAAGAAGCCCCGGCUAACUACGUGCCAGCAGCCGCGGUAAUACGUAGGGGGCAAGCGUUAUCCGGAUUCACUGGAUGUAAAGGGAGCGUAGACGGCGAGACAAGUCUGGAGUGAAAGGCCGGGGCCCACCCCCGGGACUGCUCUGGAAACUGCC